UAUGCUAUACUUGAAAUGCUGUGUAAUUUGAAUCCAUGCAGCCCUUGACGCUUAGCUUCUUUCGUCAAGCAUAGUAGAAGCGGUUUGGCCGCUAAAGGAGAAUCUCUUAUG
RNAcentral lists this non-coding RNA (111 nucleotides) under Streptococcus sp. Its description in RNAcentral is "PreQ1-II sequence". It matches the Rfam family "PreQ1-II (pre queuosine) riboswitch aptamer". Rfam says of the family: Q is a hyper modified nucleoside present in some anticodons in tRNAs (Try, Asn, Asp and His). The record is from RNAcentral. Lineage: Bacteria; Bacillati; Bacillota; Bacilli; Lactobacillales; Streptococcaceae.